This 484-nucleotide ribosomal RNA is filed under the name uncultured bacterium. RNAcentral describes it as "partial 16S ribosomal RNA". It matches the Rfam family "Bacterial small subunit ribosomal RNA", at positions 29 to 507 of the family's 1533-position model. The record is from RNAcentral.
AUUGAACGCUAGCGGGAUGCUUAACACAUGCAAGUCGAACGGCAGCGCGGACUUCGGUCUGGCGGCGAGUGGCGAACGGGUGAGUAAUGUAUCGGAACGUGCCCAGCAGCGGGGGAUAACUACGCGAAAGCGUAGCUAAUACCGCAUACGCCCUACGGGGGAAAGCAGGGGAUCGUUAGACAUUGCACGAUUGGAGGGGCCGAUAUCGGAUUAGCUAGUUGGUGAGGUAACGGCUCACCAAGGCGACGAUCCGUAGCUGGUUUGAGAGGACGACCAGCCACACUGGAACUGAGACACGGCCCAGACUCCUACGGGAGGCAGCAGUGGGGAAUUUUGGACAAUGGGGGCAACCCUGAUCCAGCCAUCCCGCGUGUGCGAUGAAGGCCUUCGGGUUGUAAAGCACUUUUGGCAGGAAAGAAACGUCGCGGGCUAAUACCCCGUGGAACUGACGGUACCUGCAGAAUAAGCACCGGCUAACUACGUG